CCUACGGGAGGCAGCAGUGAGGAAUAUUCGUCAAUGGACGCGAGUCUGAACCAGCCAAGUAGCGUGAAGGAUGACUGCCCUAUGGGUUGUAAACUUCUUUUAUAUGGGAAUAAAACGUUCCACGUGUGGGCUUUUGUAUGUACCAUAUGCAUAAGGAUCGGCUAACUCCGUGCCAGCCGACGCGGUAAUACGGAGGAUCCGAGCGUUAUCCGGACUUAUUGGGUUUAAAGGGAGCGUAGGUGGAUUGUUAAGUCAGUUGUGAAAGUUUGCGGCUCAACCGUAACAUUGCAGUUGAAACUGGCAGUCUUGAGUACAGUAGGGGUGGGCGGAAUUCGUGGUGUAGCGGUGAAAGGCUGAGUUAUCGCGAAGAACUCCG
RNAcentral lists this ribosomal RNA (376 nucleotides) under uncultured bacterium. RNAcentral describes it as "partial 16S ribosomal RNA". It matches the Rfam family "Bacterial small subunit ribosomal RNA", at positions 338 to 711 of the family's 1533-position model. The record is from RNAcentral.